AAUGAACGUUGGCGGCAUGGAUUAGGCAUGCAAGUCGCGCGAGAAGUUUUUCUUCGGAGAGACGGACAGCGGCGCAAGGGAGAGUAACGCGUGGAUACCUGCCCUGGGGUCCGGGAUAGCUGCGGGAAACUGCAAGUAAUACCGGAUGACAUCCCUGGAUCAAAGGUGCGAUUCCGCCCUAGGAUGGGUCCGCGUCCUAUUAGCUUGUUGGUAAGGUAAUGGCUUACCAAGGCAAAGAUGGGUACCGGGUGUGAGAGCAUGGCCCGGCUCACUGGGACUGAGACACUGCCCAGACACCUACGGGUGGCUGCAGUCGAGAAUCUUCGGCAAUGGACGCAAGUCUGACCGAGCAAUGCCGCGUGCGGGAUGAAGGCCUUCGGGUUGUAAACCGCUGUCAGAGGGGAUGAAAUGCAUGAGGGUACUCUCUCAUGUUUGACAUAGCCUCAGAGGAAGUACGGGCUAAGUUCGUGCCAGCAGCCGCGGUAAGACGAACCGUACAAACGUUAUUCGGAAUCACUGGGCUUAAAGGGUGCGUAGGCGGUCAAGAAAGUUGGGUGUGAAAUCCCUCGGCUCAACCGAGGAAUUGCGCUCAAAACU
This 597-nucleotide ribosomal RNA is filed under the name uncultured bacterium. Its description in RNAcentral is "bacterial SSU rRNA". It matches the Rfam family "Bacterial small subunit ribosomal RNA", at positions 28 to 634 of the family's 1533-position model. The record is from RNAcentral.